UUGGUGCCUUCGGGAACUCUGAGACAGGUGCUGCAUGGCUGUCGUCAGCUCGUGUUGUGAAAUGUUGGGUUAAGUCCCGCAACGAGCGCAACCCUUAUCCUUGUUUGCCAGCACUUCGGGUGGGAACUCCAGGGAGACUGCCGGUGAUAAACCGGAGGAAGGUGGGGACGACGUCAAGUCAUCAUGGCCCUUACGAGUAGGGCUACACACGUGCUACAAUGGCGUAUACAGAGGGCUGCCAACUCGCGAGAGUGAGCGAAUCCCAGAAAGUACGUCGUAGUCCGGAUUGGAGUCUGCAACUCGACUCCAUGAAGUCGGAAUCGCUAGUAAUCGUGAAUCAGAAUGUCACGGUGAAUACGUUCCCGGGCCUUGUACACACCGCCCGUCACACCAUGGGAGUGGGCUGCACCAGAAGUAGAUAGCUUAACCUUCGGGAGGGCGUUUACCACGGUGUGGUUCAUGACUGGGGUGAAGUCGUAACAAGGUAGCCCUAGGGGAACCUGGGGCUGGAUCACCUCCUUACCUAAAGA
Molecule: ribosomal RNA, 530 nt
Filed under: Photobacterium leiognathi subsp. mandapamensis
Lineage: Bacteria; Pseudomonadati; Pseudomonadota; Gammaproteobacteria; Vibrionales; Vibrionaceae
Also listed under: 1 other name
Description: bacterial SSU rRNA
Rfam family: Bacterial small subunit ribosomal RNA
Source: RNAcentral